This 2703-nucleotide long non-coding RNA is filed under the name Sorghum bicolor (sorghum). RNAcentral describes it as "long non-coding RNA (SBIC_LNC016571)". The record is from RNAcentral. Lineage: Eukaryota; Viridiplantae; Streptophyta; Magnoliopsida; Poales; Poaceae.
UAUAUAUAUCUUUGCUUAGUUGCUAAAUAAAUAAAUAAAUAAAGUUUGCUAUGAACCCUCAUGAUAAGCUCUCAUAUGGAAAUGAUGAAUAGUUGCUCUACCAUGACUAGUUCUCAAAAUUGAAAUCUCUCUCAAGUUUAGGCAUGACUGUUAUUAAUUAAGAUUUGCUCUAAACCUGAACUUGUGGGAAGAGUACUUGAUCUAAAGUCUAAGUCGUUAACGGAUAUGAUAUGGGAAGGUUGAGCUGCUGUUUAUCUGUUCUUAGAGAUGCUAGAAUUCUGGAGAAUUUUAUCUUUGAAAAUAUUUAAAAUAACACAUGAUGAGUUCCUGUAUGAUGAGAGUUUAAAUUCCUACCACAGCCAUAUAUAUAUGCUUGCUAAACUUUGAGCCACACAUUUACUUACUACUUAUGAGCAUUGAGUGUGGUCAAGCUGUGUAGACCCUUAGGAGCUUGUCAUGUGGUUAAAUCAAGAUUCACUUGCACGUUCACUUACACAUGCUGCUUCUACUCCGGAAGUACGCAUCCACAUAUAUCCAUUUCCAUCUCCAGAACCACCCAAAAAUAUUCUACUCCAAAUCCGGGAGAGAAUAGCCAAAAAUAUUUCUGUUUUUCCCCUGUGAAAUAAAUGCUCAAGUUAUUUUGUUACUACCACUUGCUAUAUUAUCUCAUGAGAUGAGUGCUCUAAAAAAAAGAAAAAAAAAAUAAAAAAAAAAAGAAAAAAAGAUACGAGGAAAUAAAAAGGGGCAAGUGCCCGGAACCUCGAAAGAAAAGAAAAAGUAAGACGAGAGGUAAAAAUGGACAAGUGUCUGACAGUAGAAUUAGGGGUACAAGAUACCCACCUGAGAGAAAAGAAAAAGAAAAUAUAGAGCAUCUCAUUCUCCUCAAAAAGUUUCAAAAGAGCAAGAAAGGUAUGUAUCCCCUCAAAAGAGCACAAGUAGAAUUAGACUUUCACCAUUAUCACCAUUCAUUCGCCACACAUGCACAUCUUGAUUUGACUUAUUGGCUUGUUUUUCUGGAUCCAUGGUUUGACUAUACAAUAAAUGUCUUGUAAGUAUGUAUUAGCUGUCUCCCACCUAUGAGCUCCAGAUAUCAAAACCUUAUUAGAGUAGGGUGAGAGAGAAGGCAAUGUCACAAUGCCUCAUACCAAAAAUACCACAUAAUUUGAGAGAAGGCAUAUAUCAUCACUGCCUUGGUAAGGAUCCAGAAAUACCACAAAAGAGAGACUAGAGAGAGAGUCAUACAAGGAAUCUCUGAGUUUUAUUUGAAAAUCUGCAAAAACUCCAGAGCUAUAGUUAAUCGAAGAACAAGAGACAUGGCGCUUGACUAGACCGUUCUAUCUUUUAACUGCUCAAGACACAGGUGACGGAUGCAAGCCCUAUGGUGGAAGGUAAAAUGAGUAAGUUUAAAUCUUAACAGUUUACCCUAACCCAGAGAUGAGAUCUUGUUUGAACGCAUGUGUAUCUUUAAGGCAUGAAACCACUGCAGAAACUCUUGAGUUCAUCUUUGCUCAGGGACGAGCAAAGGUUAAGCUUGGGAGAGCUUGUUGACGGUCCUUAAUGCUCACAUUUAACCAUCAACUAAUCAUAGAAAAGGACUUAUAUGCAACCAAUACCUAGACUUAGGGUUUUAUCUGACAGAAUUCCACGAGUUUUGGUAUUUGUCUAUUUCUGUAGGGGGUUAUCAGGAAAUAUGAAAGAAAGGCCCACACGUCGGGUUUACAUAGAGAUAUUAACGUGCCGCGCAAUUUUCUACCAUCUAGAAGACUCCAGAAGCCACGGAAAUGAACGGGAGGCCGAUCGGGCCCGGGGGCAGGGCGCCCGCCCAAGUCCCUUGGGUGCCCGCCCAGCUACAGUAACCAAUCAACUUCGCGGAUCGUGCUCCACCGACCUAAGGGACCAAGGAAAAUCGUACGAUUAAUGUCGGUUUGAUCCGACGGCCCAGAUUCAUCUGAAAAAGACUAUAUAAGCAAGGCCUCCUGGCCCCUGGAGAGCAUACCUCUUCUACAGAAUCAAAGUUAGGGUUUCAAUUCUUCAUCCAAGUAGAGAGGAUCCCUCUAGUUCUUCUAGUUCUACCUCUAGUUCAUCUAGAUCUAGUUCUAGUUCAUCUAGUUCUAGUUCUAGUUAGUUCUAGUUGUAAUCUAGAAAACAGGGAGAGAGAAGAGGAGAGCGGAGGAGGAGCCGGGUCUGUCAGAUCUUCCUCAACAUUGUACUUUUGCAGCAACUGGUUCGUUCUUCAUCGUUCUGUGGUUGUAGGACCGUAGUCAGACCUUCCUAGCCCCAUUCUCAUCUCUUUCUGUGGUUAGUGCUCUGAUGUCCCGAUAUAGAUAAUCUUAAAGUAAUUCUUGAUUCUUAGAUCAACUAGAGAACUCUCAGAAAACUUCCUCUCUUCCCACCAAAAACUAAUUAUAUAGUUAUUCUUGGGCGAUCUUGGAUCUUAAUUAGUACACUCACGUUCCCUGUGGAAAAUCGAUACUCUGGAAUACUCCCGGGUGAAGGCUACAUCGGUAUCCGUGCGCUUGCGGAUUUUUUCUGUUUGCGUUUAAAAUACCCAACAUGUAGUUGCAGUAGUUCUUGCAAUGUUUAUCUCUAAUCUGAGUAGUGAUAAAAUUGCACACGUGCACAUAUAUGUCACCACUAUAUUAUGCGUAAUUUUCUAGAUUAAAUCAAACAUUAAAAUGUCUAAAUUUCUAACACAUGUACCAU